UACGUAGGUGGCAAGCGUUGUCCGGAUUUACUGGGCGUAAAGGGAGCGUAGGCGGACUUUUAAGUGAGAUGUGAAAUACCCGGGCUUAACUUGGGUGCUGCAUUUCAAACUGGAAGUCUAGAGUGCAGGAGAGGAGAAUGGAAUUCCUAGUGUAGCGGUGAAAUGCGUAGAGAUUAGGAAGAACACCAGUGGCGAAGGCGAUUCUCUGGACUGUAACUGACGCUGAGGCUCGAAAGCGUGGGGAGCAAACAGGAUUAGAUACCCUGGUA
RNAcentral lists this ribosomal RNA (269 nucleotides) under uncultured prokaryote. Its description in RNAcentral is "partial 16S ribosomal RNA". It matches the Rfam family "Bacterial small subunit ribosomal RNA", at positions 524 to 792 of the family's 1533-position model. The record is from RNAcentral.